ACAGCCACAUCACAUUUAAGCACUGGUUUUCACCCUAUCACUGAAGUUAAGCAGUGUUGAUCUGGGUUAGUAAUUAGAUGGGUGACCACUUGGGAAUAUCAGGCACUGCAA
This is a non-coding RNA of Acanthosepion pharaonis, 111 nucleotides long. The record is from the annotation of a GenBank genome assembly. NCBI's taxonomy places the organism in Eukaryota, Metazoa, Mollusca, Cephalopoda, Sepiida, Sepiidae.